AUCUUUAUAGUUUAAAUAAAAAUAUUAAAUUGCAAAUUUGAAGAAUUUUUGAAAAAUUAAGAU
Molecule: transfer RNA, 63 nt
Filed under: Acropyga smithii
Lineage: Eukaryota; Metazoa; Arthropoda; Insecta; Hymenoptera; Formicidae
Description: tRNA-Cys
Source: RNAcentral